UCUAUGCACACAUCGUUUGAGAGUAUUUUCUUGCACUCAUUACGGCAAAAGUGAACCAAAUAUUCUUAUGCUCUCUGCCUGGAGUGACUGCAUAGAGAAUGCUGUGAUUCUGGUAUUUUGCUAGGCGGGAAAAUGGGAAAAAAAUGGCGUUUUUCAGAAUGGAUGGCACUUAUUUUAAAAGGAUCUCUUUUUCAAGUCCACUUUUAGAAUGAUGCCCAGAAAACAGCAACAAUGCUACAGGUAGUUCUUGCUUAAUGACCACUUGCUCAGCAACCAUUCAAAGUUACAAUG
Molecule: non-coding RNA, 291 nt
Organism: Pantherophis guttatus
Lineage: Eukaryota; Metazoa; Chordata; Lepidosauria; Squamata; Colubridae
Source: RefSeq, a predicted model, not a curated record